Molecule: ribosomal RNA, 1804 nt
Filed under: Escherichia coli
Lineage: Bacteria; Pseudomonadati; Pseudomonadota; Gammaproteobacteria; Enterobacterales; Enterobacteriaceae
Description: partial 23S ribosomal RNA
Rfam family: Bacterial large subunit ribosomal RNA
Source: RNAcentral
AGGCGAUGAAGGACGUGCUAAUCUGCGAUAAGCGUCGGUGAGGUGAUAUGAACCGUUAUAACCGGCGAUUUCCGAAUGGGGAAACCCAGUGUGUUUCGACACACUAUCAUUAACUGAAUCCAUAGGUUAAUGAGGCGAACCGGGGGAACUGAAACAUCUAAGUACCCCGAGGAAAAGAAAUCAACCGAGAUUCCCCCAGUAGCGGCGAGCGAACGGGGAGGAGCCCAGAGCCUGAAUCAGUGUGUGUGUUAGUGGAAGCGUCUGGAAAGGCGUGCGAUACAGGGUGACAGCCCCGUACACAAAAAUGCACAUAUUGUGAGCUCGAUGAGUAGGGCGGGACACGUGGUAUCCUGUCUGAAUAUGGGGGGACCAUCCUCCAAGGCUAAAUACUCCUGACUGACCGAUAGUGAACCAGUACCGUGAGGGAAAGGCGAAAAGAACCCCGGCGAGGGGAGUGAAAAAGAACCUGAAACCGUGUACGUACAAGCAGUGGGAGCCUCUUAAUGGGGUGACUGCGUACCUUUUGUAUAAUGGGUCAGCGACUUAUAUUCUGUAGCAAGGUUAACCGAAUAGGGGAGCCGAAGGGAAACCGAGUCUUAACUGGGCGUUAAGUUGCAGGGUAUAGACCCGAAACCCGGUGAUCUAGCCAUGGGCAGGUUGAAGGUUGGGUAACACUAACUGGAGGACCGAACCGACUAAUGUUGAAAAAUUAGCGGAUGACUUGUGGCUGGGGGUGAAAGGCCAAUCAAACCGGGAGAUAGCUGGUUCUCCCCGAAAGCUAUUUAGGUAGCGCCUCGUGAAUUCAUCUCCGGGGGUAGAGCACUGUUUCGGCAAGGGGGUCAUCCCGACUUACCAACCCGAUGCAAACUGCGAAUACCGGAGAAUGUUAUCACGGGAGACACACGGCGGGUGCUAACGUCCGUCGUGAAGAGGGAAACAACCCAGACCGCCAGCUAAGGUCCCAAAGUCAUGGUUAAGUGGGAAACGAUGUGGGAAGGCCCAGACAGCCAGGAUGUUGGCUUAGAAGCAGCCAUCAUUUAAAGAAAGCGUAAUAGCUCACUGGUCGAGUCGGCCUGCGCGGAAGAUGUAACGGGGCUAAACCAUGCACCGAAGCUGCGGCAGCGACACUAUGUGUUGUUGGGUAGGGGAGCGUUCUGUAAGCCUGUGAAGGUGGCCUGUGAGGGUUGCUGGAGGUAUCAGAAGUGCGAAUGCUGACAUAAGUAACGAUAAAGCGGGUGAAAAGCCCGCUCGCCGGAAGACCAAGGGUUCCUGUCCAACGUUAAUCGGGGCAGGGUGAGUCGACCCCUAAGGCGAGGCCGAAAGGCGUAGUCGAUGGGAAACAGGUUAAUAUUCCUGUACUUGGUGUUACUGCGAAGGGGGGACGGAGAAGGCUAUGUUGGCCGGGCGACGGUUGUCCCGGUUUAAGCGUGUAGGCUGGUUUUCCAGGCAAAUCCGGAAAACCAAGGCUGAGGCGUGAUGACGAGGCACUACGGUGCUGAAGCGACAAAUGCCCUGCUUCCAGGAAAAGCCUCUAAGCAUCAGGUAACAUCAAAUCGUACCCCAAACCGACACAGGUGGUCAGGUAGAGAAUACCAAGGCGCUUGAGAGAACUCGGGUGAAGGAACUAGGCAAAAUGGUGCCGUAACUUCGGGAGAAGGCACGCUGAUAUGUAGGUGAAGCGACUUGCUCGUGGAGCUGAAAUCAGUCGAAGAUACCAGCUGGCUGCAACUGUUUAUUAAAAACACAGCACUGUGCAAACACGAAAGUGGACGUAUACGGUGUGACGCCUGCCCGGUGCCGGAAG